RNAcentral lists this long non-coding RNA (307 nucleotides) under Physcomitrium patens. RNAcentral describes it as "long non-coding RNA (PPAT_LNC004386)". The record is from RNAcentral. Lineage: Eukaryota; Viridiplantae; Streptophyta; Bryopsida; Funariales; Funariaceae.
UUGAUUAGGGUUUGGAUUAGGAUUUGAUUUAGUAUUUAGGAUUUAGGAUUUGGAUUAGGAUUUAGUUUAGGGUUAAGAUUUAGGAUUUGGAUCAAGAUUUGGUUUAGGAUUAGGAUUUAGGAUUUGGAUUAGGAUUUGGUUUAGGGUUAAGGAUUAGGAUUUAGGGUUUGGUUAGGAUUUUAUUUAGGGUUUAGGGUUGGAAUUAGGAUUUGGUUUAAGGUUUUUUUAGGGUUUGAUUUAGGAUUUAAGAUUUAUUAGGAUUUAAGAUUUAAUUAGUUUUGGCCUAAAAUUUGAAUGAAGUUCAAUA